AGCAGCCGCGGUAAUUCCAGCUCCAAUAGCGUAUAUUAAAGUUGUUGCAGUUAAAAAGCUCGUAGUUGAAUUUUUGAUUCUUCCAAUUGGUCCAUCUUUUAGAUGAGUACUGGUUGUGUGGGGUCUAUCCGCCUGGUGAUACGUAAUGUCCUUUAUUGGGUGUUGCGGGUAGUCAGGACGUUUACCUUGAAAAAAUUAGAGUGUUUAAAGCAGGCUUAUGCCGGAGUACAUUAGCAUGGAAUAAUAGAAUAGGACGAAGUUGUUUUAUUUUGUUGGUUUCUAGGACAACCGUAAUGAUUAAUAGGGAUAGUUGGGGGCAUUAGUAUUCAAUUGUCAGAGGUGAAAUUCUUGGAUUUAUUGAAGACUAACUAUUGUCGAAAGCAUUUGCCAAGGAUGUUUUC
This 401-nucleotide ribosomal RNA is filed under the name uncultured Glomeromycotina. RNAcentral's name for it is "SSU rRNA". It matches the Rfam family "Eukaryotic small subunit ribosomal RNA", at positions 569 to 971 of the family's 1831-position model. The record is from RNAcentral. Lineage: Eukaryota; Fungi; Glomeromycota.